AUUGAACGCUGGCGGCAGGCCUAACACAUGCAAGUCGAGCGGAUGAAGGGAGCUUGCUCCUGGAUUCAGCGGCGGACGGGUGAGUAAUGCCUAGGAAUCUGCCUGGUAGUGGGGGAUAACGUCCGGAAACGGGCGCUAAUACCGCAUACGUCCUGAGGGAGAAAGUGGGGGAUCUUCGGACCUCACGCUCUCAGAUGAGCCUAGGUCGGAUUAGCUAGUUGGUGGGGUAAAGGCCUACCAAGCCGACGAUCCGUAACUGGUCUGAGAGGAUGAUCAGUCACACUGGAACUGAGACACGGUCCAGACUCCUACGGGAGGCAGCAGUGGGGAAUAUUGGACAAUGGGCGAAAGCCUGAUCCAGCCAUGCCGCGUGUGUGAAGAAGGUCUUCGGAUUGUAAAGCACGUUAAGUGGGGAGGAAGGGCAGUAAGUUAAUACCUUGCUGUUUUGACGUUACCAACAGAAUAAGCACCGGCUAACUUCGUG
RNAcentral lists this ribosomal RNA (484 nucleotides) under uncultured bacterium. RNAcentral's name for it is "partial 16S ribosomal RNA". It matches the Rfam family "Bacterial small subunit ribosomal RNA", at positions 30 to 507 of the family's 1533-position model. The record is from RNAcentral.